AACGCACAUUGCGCCCCUCGGUAUUCCGUGGGGCAUGCCUGUUCGAGCGUCAUUUACACCCUCAAGCUAUGCUUGGUGUUGGGCGUCUGUCCCGCCUUCGUGCGCGGACUCGCCUCAAAGUCAUUGGCAGCGGUCUCGUCGGCUUCUCGCGCAGCACAUUUGCGCUUCUCGGAGCCCCGGCGGAUCAGCGUCCAGCAAGCGAUUUCAUGACUUGACCUCGGAUCAGGUAGGGAUACCCGCUGAACUUAA
Molecule: unclassified non-coding RNA, 249 nt
Filed under: Mollisia sp.
Lineage: Eukaryota; Fungi; Ascomycota; Leotiomycetes; Helotiales; Mollisiaceae
Also listed under: 2 other names
Description: partial contains 5.8S ribosomal RNA, internal transcribed spacer 2, and large subunit ribosomal RNA
Source: RNAcentral